UAGGGUGCAAGCGUUGUCCGGAAUUAUUGGGCGUAAAGAGCUCGUAGGCGGUUUGUCGCGUCUGCUGUGAAAACUCAGGGCUUAACCCUGAGCCUGCAGUGGGUACGGGCAGACUAGAGUGUGGUAGGGGAGAUCGGAAUUCCUGGUGUAGCGGUGGAAUGCGCAGAUAUCAGGAGGAACACCGGUGGCGAAGGCGGAUCUCUGGGCCAUAACUGACGCUGAGGAGCGAAAGCAUGGGGAGCGAACAGG
This 249-nucleotide ribosomal RNA is filed under the name uncultured bacterium. RNAcentral's name for it is "partial 16S ribosomal RNA". It matches the Rfam family "Bacterial small subunit ribosomal RNA", at positions 528 to 776 of the family's 1533-position model. The record is from RNAcentral.